UACAGGGGGCUCGAGCGUUAGUCGGAAUCACUGGGCUUAAAGGGUGCGUAGGCGGCUCAUCAAGUGCUUUGUGAAAGCCCACAGCUCAACUGUGGAACUGCAGGGCAAACUGAUGAGCUUGAGGCAGGUAGGGGCCGGAAGAACAGUAGGUGGAGCGGUGAAAUGCGUAGAUAUCUACUGGAAUGCCGAUGGGGAAGCCGUCCGGCUGGGCCUGUCCUGACGCUGAGGCACGAAAGCGUGGGGAGCAAACAGG
Molecule: ribosomal RNA, 253 nt
Filed under: uncultured bacterium
Lineage: Bacteria
Description: partial 16S ribosomal RNA
Rfam family: Bacterial small subunit ribosomal RNA
Source: RNAcentral